AAGUAAUGAUUUCUCUCUCUCUCUCUCUCUCUCUCUCUCUCUCUCUCUCUCUCUCUCUCUCUCUCUCUCCUCCCAAUGCCCCCAAGGAGAUGAUUUUAAUAAAGAAAGACAUUUCUGCCUGCUGGGAUGGUACACUGUGGAAGUUGAGCAGCUAUAAGUAGGGGAGAGAGAGAGAGAGAGAGAGAGAGAGAGAGAGAGAGAGAGUUUUCAA
RNAcentral lists this microRNA precursor (211 nucleotides) under Marmota monax (woodchuck). Lineage: Eukaryota; Metazoa; Chordata; Mammalia; Rodentia; Sciuridae. The record is from RNAcentral.